ACUACUAGAUUAUCCUUAGGACUCUGC
Molecule: non-coding RNA, 27 nt
Filed under: Cricetulus griseus (Chinese hamster)
Lineage: Eukaryota; Metazoa; Chordata; Mammalia; Rodentia; Cricetidae
Source: RNAcentral